Long non-coding RNA from Armigeres subalbatus, 581 nucleotides. RefSeq lists it as uncharacterized. The record is from RefSeq and is a predicted model, not a curated record. The transcript has 3 exons. NCBI's taxonomy places the organism in Eukaryota, Metazoa, Arthropoda, Insecta, Diptera, Culicidae.
UCUGUGGAGAAAAAAUCAUACAUGAAAUGAUUUCAUUACCCGACUGCGUAAAAUGAAGUUUUUACAUUUUCAGUGUUAUAAAUAGUGACAUUUUUGUCGACGGCAGUUAUUUUCUCUCGACGUCGGUGAUGAUUUUGUUGGGGAUAAAACAAUUAAAACGGACUAAAAUGUGCUAAAUACAUAAUCAUCCCGGUUCAAUAAACUAAGCAGAAAAACAACGGAAUUUCACUGACUCGUGAAUGCUGAUAAUGCGUCGCUUCGCACAGCGCCAGGAAAUUGGCUAAUCCGUGGAUCUGCCGGCGAACCUUGCGAAGGUGAACUUGUUAAGUGCACAUACGUACGCGAAAGGGGUCCUGAUAACGCAGCUCAAAGUAUUCAGCCUUCUACCCUCGGUAACGGCGGAGAGUGCGGCAAAAUCAAUCGAUCACUGUGCUUUUAAACAAAUGUUAAAAUAUCGUUCUUAACUGAUAAUAAUGAAUUUCUCAAUAUUUUUAAGUAAGUAUACAGAAAAUCUUAGAAAAUGUAAAAAGCAAUAUAAGGCAAUAAAUACGAAAAUAAAUUAAAUAUAAUAGAACAAAAAA